Molecule: long non-coding RNA, 1308 nt
Filed under: Astyanax mexicanus (Mexican tetra)
Lineage: Eukaryota; Metazoa; Chordata; Actinopteri; Characiformes; Acestrorhamphidae
Description: lncRNA (ENSAMXG00005022724.1)
Source: RNAcentral
AAAAUUUCCAAGCCUCUCAAAAUAUCCUGGAAUAUUUCCGGUAAAAAGCCUCAGCCUCCAUCUUUGUCCAGAGUUUGAGUCUGCUCUUCUGGCUUAGGGGUCUUGAGAGAAAGCUAGUGCUCACCACUCUUGUGCUUGUGCUAAUGCUUGUGUUUGUUCCUGCGCUGAUCUCUGACCUGCUAAUGUCCCCAGCUAUGACAUGGAGACCACUUGACUGUGAACUCUGAGACAGCACCCCAGGUGGCUCUACCUACCCUUUUAUACCUGCAGCUCCACCCCAUCCUCAAUUGGGCCAUACCAUUACUACAGGAAGGGGUACCUUAAAGGUAUGCUGUACACACACGUAUAUACUAACCCACACAAAUACCUGCAUUAAAGCCUACAUUAUUUACACCACAUUUAUAAACAGAUUUCACACAUCACUGGAUUCAUUGUUCUAACUUUUCUCUCACACACUUCUAUUGAGGAGUCCCCCCCCAUCUUGUAGCGCAUCCGGAGCUCCAAGGAUCCUACAAGAAGAGGUGUUAACAUGGCCACCAUUCCCCAGGACGCCCCCCAAGGACAACAACCAGAUGUCUGCUGGCCUGCCCAUAGCACAGGCCUUGGGGCGGCAGUCCUUGACAUCCUAUGUGUUACCUGUCUGACAAAGCAGUCUGCGUUCCAGAAAAGUGCAAGGACAAGGACUCCAUUCUGAGCAGAGGAGGAGUCAGACUCGAGCCAAUUCUCAGCUGGUAAGAAGCUCUAAGAGCCUCUAAGUGGAGGACCUAUCUAAGCAGUGAUAGGAGAUGUUGCUCAGUGUCAAUUCUCCUCAAUGCACUCCUUGUCUUCCCUUAUCUGUGGUAAUUAAAACAUUUAAAUUCCUUUCACAGAGAACAGGGAGUGAGAGAUAGGACUGUUGGGAAGCAUCUUGAGGAAAUGUAACAGGUUGGAGGAUAUCAGACUCAGCAGGCCAUCUACGGCCAGUGGAGUGUAGAAAUAUUCGUUGCCCAGUGCCAAGAAACACCAUGUUCCCACACUCAAAACUUAUCACAUAGCCAUAGCAAAUCAUUUUUAAAAAUUUCAUUCACAGUGAUAAAUGUAGGUUACACUUUAGCUCUAGUGCUGUUUGUUUUUGCUGUGCUGAUCAUUAUGAAUGGUACAGAAGGGAAAUGCCACUGAUAUAUAAAGCAAAGUUACAUCAUUAGGCUUCAUCUAUCACACUGUUUAACUAACUGUUAAACUUGAGUGCGUGAGUAAAUUACAAGCCAGGUCAAAGAUAAAAAAUAACUGAAAUGUAUAACAAAGUACUAAAUGUUAUUAGAAUUUUAC